RNAcentral lists this ribosomal RNA (1296 nucleotides) under Campylobacter coli. RNAcentral describes it as "partial 23S ribosomal RNA". It matches the Rfam family "Bacterial large subunit ribosomal RNA", at positions 1 to 1292 of the family's 2925-position model. The record is from RNAcentral. Lineage: Bacteria; Pseudomonadati; Campylobacterota; Epsilonproteobacteria; Campylobacterales; Campylobacteraceae.
AGGUAAGCUACUAAGAGCGAAUGGUGGAUGCCUUGACUGGUAAAGGCGAUGAAGGACGUACUAGACUGCGAUAAGCUACGGGGAGCUGUCAAGAAGCUUUGAUCCGUAGAUUUCCGAAUGGGGCAACCCAAUGUAUAGAGAUAUACAUUACCUAUAUAGGAGCGAACGAGGGGAAUUGAAACAUCUUAGUACCCUCAGGAAAAGAAAUCAAUAGAGAUUGCGUCAGUAGCGGCGAGCGAAAGCGCAAGAGGGCAAACCCAGUGCUUGCACUGGGGGUUGUAGGACUGCAAUGUGCAAGAGGUGAGUUUAGCAGAACAUUCUGGAAAGUAUAGCCAUAGAGGGUGAUAGUCCCGUAUGCGAAAAACAAACCUUAGCUAGCAGUAUCCUGAGUAGGGCGGGACACGAGAAAUCCUGUCUGAAGCUGGGUCGACCACGAUCCAACCCUAAAUACUAAUACCAGAUCGAUAGUGCACAAGUACCGUGAGGGAAAGGUGAAAAGAACUGAGGUGAUCAGAGUGAAAUAGAACCUGAAACCAUUUGCUUACAAUCAUUCAGAGCACUAUGUAGCAAUACAGUGUGAUGGACUGCCUUUUGCAUAAUGAGCCUGCGAGUUGUGGUGUCUGGCAAGGUUAAGCAAACGCGAAGCCGUAGCGAAAGCGAGUCUGAAUAGGGCGCUUAGUCAGAUGCUGCAGACCCGAAACGAAGUGAUCUAUCCAUGAGCAAGUUGAAGCUAGUGUAAGAACUAGUGGAGGACUGAACCCAUAGGCGUUGAAAAGCCCCGGGAUGACUUGUGGAUAGGGGUGAAAGGCCAAUCAAACUUCGUGAUAGCUGGUUCUCUCCGAAAUAUAUUUAGGUAUAGCGUUGUGUCGUAAUAUAAGGGGGUAGAGCACUGAAUGGGCUAGGGCAUACACCAAUGUACCAAACCCUAUCAAACUCCGAAUACCUUAUAUGUAAUCACAGCAGUCAGGCGGCGAGUGAUAAAAUCCGUCGUCAAGAGGGAAACAACCCAGACUACCAGCUAAGGUCCCUAAAUCUUACUUAAGUGGAAAACGAUGUGAAGUUACUUAAACAACCAGGAGGUUGGCUUAGAAGCAGCCAUCCUUUAAAGAAAGCGUAAUAGCUCACUGGUCUAGUGAUUUUGCGCGGAAAAUAUAACGGGGCUAAAGUAAGUACCGAAGCUGUAGACUUGCGCACAACUUAGAUUAUUUAAGUUUAGAAUAUGAGAAACUAAGUUAUAUGUUUAGUUAUAUUUUUACUGAUUUUUAUAGAGUAAAGAUAGAAAUAAAACUUAGUAAA